GACGAACGCUGGCGGCGUGCUUAACACAUGCAAGUCGAACGGAAAGGCCCCUUUGGGGGUACUCGAGUGGCGAACGGGUGAGUAACACGUGAGUAACCUGCCCUUGACUUCGGGAUAACUUCAGGAAACUGGGGCUAAUACCGGAUAGGAAUCCUUGCUGCAUGGUGGGGGUUGGAAAGCUUCGGCGGUUUUGGAUGGACUCGCGGCUUAUCAGCUUGUUGGUGGGGUAGUGGCUUACCAAGGCUUUGACGGGUAGCCGGCCUGAGAGGGCGACCGGCCACAUUGGGACUGAGAUGCGGCCCAGACUCCUACGGGAGGCAGCAGUGGGGAAUAUUGCACAAUGGGCGGAAGCGUGAUGCAGCAACGCCGCGUGCGGGAUGACGGCCUUCGGGUUGUAAACCGCUUUCAGCAGGGGCGAAGCUUUUGUGACGGUACCUGCAGAAGAAGCACCGGCUAACUACG
RNAcentral lists this ribosomal RNA (462 nucleotides) under uncultured bacterium. RNAcentral's name for it is "partial 16S ribosomal RNA". It matches the Rfam family "Bacterial small subunit ribosomal RNA", at positions 28 to 505 of the family's 1533-position model. The record is from RNAcentral.